Molecule: unclassified non-coding RNA, 357 nt
Filed under: Hevea brasiliensis (rubber tree)
Lineage: Eukaryota; Viridiplantae; Streptophyta; Magnoliopsida; Malpighiales; Euphorbiaceae
Source: RNAcentral
UUAGUUGAGAUAUUUUUGCAGGAACCUUUCUUUGCAUUUUAGUCCAAUAGAAAUUUGUAGAAAAUAUAAAUGAAUCCGAUGAUUAUGGGAUAUUCUUGUUUCCUUUAAGGUGCCUACUCACGUUGUAAGGCUGAAGAACUUCGGUCUUCUAUUCUAUGGAUUAAUCAGCGUAGUCUUAAUAGUGUGUUAGUUGAGAUAUUUUUGCAGGAACCUUUCUUUGCAUUUUAGUCCAAUAGAAAUUUGUAGAAAAUAUAAAUGAAUCCGAUGAUUAUGGGAUAUUCUUGUUUCCUUUAAGGUGCCUACUCACGUUGUAAGGCUGAAGAACUUCGGUCUUCUAUUCUAUGGAUUAAUCAGCGU